This 322-nucleotide ribosomal RNA is filed under the name uncultured Bacteroidota bacterium. RNAcentral's name for it is "bacterial SSU rRNA". It matches the Rfam family "Bacterial small subunit ribosomal RNA", at positions 28 to 351 of the family's 1533-position model. The record is from RNAcentral. Lineage: Bacteria; Pseudomonadati; Bacteroidota.
GAUGAACGCUAGCGGGAGGCUUAACACAUGCAAGUCGAGCGGGAUUGGUAGCAAUACCAUGAGAGCGGCGCACGGGUGCGUAACGCGUAUGCAACCUGCCUUAUACAGGGGGAUAGCCCAUGGAAACGUGGAUUAAUAUCCCAUAGGAUUAUAGUUUCGCAUGAAACAAUGAUUAAACCGAGGUGGUAUAAGAUGGGCAUGCGUCUGAUUAGGUAGUUGGUGGGGUAACGGCCCACCAAGCCGACGAUCAGUAGGGGGUCCUGAGAGGGGUUUACCCCCCACACUGGUACUGAGACACGGACCAGACUCCUACGGGUGGCUG